ACCAGCAUCACCAGCAUCACCACCACCAUUGUCAUGAUAAACAUCAACAGUAGCAUUCUUGCCAAAAGCCUAUAUAAGGACAUUGGAAGAAGGAAGAUUCACUCUUCUUCGCCUGCUUGCAUUCACUUGCCAGCACGUCUGUUGGAACCUACAGAUGCACUGUACCUUCUACAGAAGACCAGAUGAAACAACUAGCCUCAUGGGACUGAGCAACUAUUAGAUUCUUGGAUUUACCAUUCACAGCGGACCAUUGUUGGGGUAGUUGGACUGCAGACUGUUUAUGCUUUGAAAGCUGCAGCCCAUGGAAGAGCUGAAGGGGAACGGAGCUCAGUCCAGCAUGUCUGCCUUGGGACAGCAACUCCGUCUUUCACGCGCUGCCCUCAGCUGCACAUCAGAAGUCACCAGCACCAGAGAUUUCUUUAGAAACAUUUGUGCUUAGAAAGCAACAACAACAACAAAAAAUUUACUGUAAAAACUGUUGUGCCUGUCAAGCCUUUGGCAAAUGCUGGAUGCUAAUGAAUCGGCCGUGCCAAGGUCACAGUGGCUCUCCUCUCAUGAGACACUGUAUAGGAGAAGAAAAUGUUAACAGAAAACCAACCCCGGAAAGGUAAAGAGGACAGUUGAAGGAGCAGUCAGGGACUCCCCUGGUGUUUCCUACUUGUCAAGUGUUUCUGUGGCGACAUGGUGCUGUCAGUCACAUCACGUGAAGAGCUUUCCUCCUGGAAAAGCCGUGCUGUCUUCAGAUCUCAGCUGCUUUCUCUCACACCCCUUUUAUGCUGAGGUAGUGAUCAAUAGGUGCGUUGGCCGCUCCUGGUGCCAGGAGAGCCUGGAAAAGAGCAAAGCUGACUCCCUUGGAACAGAGUAUGAGCUCCUUUGAGGUUGGGCAGGUGAUGUUUGCCCCAGCCUUGCUGUGGGCCACCUCCCAUAUCGAUCUCCAGUGUGACAAGUGACAAUAAAGACAGAAAUGAGGUAUAAGAUUCUGUCAUGUAAAUCUGGCAAGGGCAUUCAGGUUUGUUGACCUGCUAACAUCUGGAUGAGCCUAGCUGCAAAACACACCACAAAGACGGAUGGGAUGGCACAGUGUUCUGCUGAUCGCUCUAUGUCACGCUGUCCUGCCGCCUCAGUUGGGCUCUUUCGCCUUCCCAGGGUACCUUGCCCGAUUUCUUAGGAUGUCUACAAAUGAUCAGCAGAACCCAGGAGUGGAAGCCACAGAUCCAUCGGAAUGAGAACAUUAGACAUACGAAUGGGAAUUUGUAGGGAGCCUGGGAAUGAGGAUGCAGAAUGAAGGAAGCAGCGUCAGGACGCGCAGGUUGACGCGGCAGCAAGGGUGGACUGAAGUACCAAGCUUGGACUCACACAGUCUCCCAUAGCUGAGAAGUGGACCUCAGUGUCCUGGGGCAGGUGGAAGCCUAGGAACACUUCUUGGGUCUUGGGAGUUGAGGACACAGAGAAGGAGCUGAGCUUCGGCUACUUAGG
Mus musculus (house mouse) is the source of this 1476-nucleotide long non-coding RNA. RefSeq annotates it as predicted gene, 40994. The record is from RefSeq and is a predicted model, not a curated record. Lineage: Eukaryota; Metazoa; Chordata; Mammalia; Rodentia; Muridae. The transcript is spliced from 3 exons.